CCCCAGACUCCUACGGGAGGCAGCAGUGGGGAAUAUUGCACAAUGGGGGAAACCCUGAUGCGGCGACGCCGCGUGAGUGAAGAAGUAAUUCGUUAUGUAAAGCUCUAUCAGCAGGGAAGAAAAUGACGGUACCUGACUAAGAAGCCCCGGCUAACUACGUGCCAGCAGCCGCGGUAAUACGUAGGGGGCAAGCGUUAUCCGGAUUUACUGGGUGUAAAGGGAGCGUAGACGGUCCUGCAAGCCAGAUGUGAAAGCCCGGGGCUCAACCCCGGGACUGCCUUUGAAACUGCCGGGCUGGAGUGCAGGAGAGGUAAGCGGAAUUCCUAGUGUAGCGGUGAAAUGCGUAGAUAUUAGGAGGAACACCAGUGGCGAAGGCGGCUUACUGGACUGUAACUGACGUUGAGGCUCGAAAGCGUGGGGAGCAAACAGGAUUAGAUACCCUGGUAG
Molecule: ribosomal RNA, 447 nt
Filed under: uncultured bacterium
Lineage: Bacteria
Description: bacterial SSU rRNA
Rfam family: Bacterial small subunit ribosomal RNA
Source: RNAcentral